Molecule: ribosomal RNA, 1260 nt
Filed under: Salmonella enterica
Lineage: Bacteria; Pseudomonadati; Pseudomonadota; Gammaproteobacteria; Enterobacterales; Enterobacteriaceae
Description: partial 23S ribosomal RNA
Rfam family: Bacterial large subunit ribosomal RNA
Source: RNAcentral
AGACCCGAAACCCGGUGAUCUAGCCAUGGGCAGGUUGAAGGUUGGGUAACACUAACUGGAGGACCGAACCGACUAAUGUUGAAAAAUUAGCGGAUGACCUGUGGCUGGGGGUGAAAGGCCAAUCAAACCGGGAGAUAGCUGGUUCUCCCCGAAAGCUAUUUAGGUAGCGCCUCGUGAAUUCAUCUCCGGGGGUAGAGCACUGUUUCGGCUAGGGGGCCAUCCCGGCUUACCAACCCGAUGCAAACUGCGAAUACCGGAGAAUGUUAUCACGGGAGACACACGGCGGGUGCUAACGUCCGUCGUGAAGAGGGAAACAACCCAGACCGCCAGCUAAGGUCCCAAAGUCAUGGUUAAGUGGGAAACGAUGUGGGAAGGCCCAGACAGCCAGGAUGUUGGCUUAGAAGCAGCCAUCAUUUAAAGAAAGCGUAAUAGCUCACUGGUCGAGUCGGCCUGCGCGGAAGAUGUAACGGGGCUAAACCAUGCACCGAAGCUGCGGCAGCGAACGUAUCACCCAAGACAACUUUACGGAGUUGACGAUUGACGGAGCGAAGCGACGUCAAAGCGUUCAUUAAAGUCGAGUUGGCUUAGGGAUACGUUCGUUGGGUAGGGGAGCGUUCUGUAAGCCUGUGAAGGUGUGUCGUGAGGCAUGCUGGAGGUAUCAGAAGUGCGAAUGCUGACAUAAGUAACGAUAAAGCGGGUGAAAAGCCCGCUCGCCGGAAGACCAAGGGUUCCUGUCCAACGUUAAUCGGGGCAGGGUGAGUCGACCCCUAAGGCGAGGCCGAAAGGCGUAGUCGAUGGGAAACGGGUUAAUAUUCCCGUACUUGGUGUUACUGCGAAGGGGGGACGGAGAAGGCUAUGUUGGCCGGGCGACGGUUGUCCCGGUUUAAGCGUGUAGGUGUGUGUUCCAGGUAAAUCCGGUUCACUUUAACACUGAGGCGUGACGACGAGGCACUACGGUGCUGAAGCAACAAAUGCCCUGCUUCCAGGAAAAGCCUCUAAGCAUCAGGUAACACGAAAUCGUACCCCAAACCGACACAGGUGGUCAGGUAGAGAAUACCAAGGCGCUUGAGAGAACUCGGGUGAAGGAACUAGGCAAAAUGGUGCCGUAACUUCGGGAGAAGGCACGCUGACACGUAGGUGAAGUGAUUUACUCAUGGAGCUGAAGUCAGUCGAAGAUACCAGCUGGCUGCAACUGUUUAUUAAAAACACAGCACUGUGCAAACACGAAAGUGGACGUAUACGGUGUGACGCCUGCCCGGU